GAUUAGGUAACUACACAGUACCACAGGAUCAACCGAAUCAUAAUUCACACGAUGCACGCCCACAAACCCAUCACCUAGUAUGUGAGUCACCUCAACUCCAAACACAUAACACGUAUAUUUAGGGGUUCAAACACUUAACACCAAGUUUAGAAGUGUUACUUACCUCGAACAAGCAAGAUCCAAUAUCGAGCAAGCCACACAGUACUCUAGAAAUGCCACCUCGCACGCAUAAACCUCCGAACGACUCAAUACUAGCCAAAAGCAAUACAAGAACAUCAAAUAAUUCCAAAGGAAACAAACCCAAUUGAUAAAGGUCAAAUCUUUAAUCAAAAUUCCAAAGUUAACAAAAAAAGUCAAAACUGAGCCCGCACCUCAAAACCUGACAAAACUCACAAAAUCUGACAACCCAUUCAAUUACGAGUCCAACCAUACUAGUUUCACUCAAAUCCGACUCUGAAUCGAUGAUCAAAAUUCGAAAAUUCACUCUAUGAAACUUUAGACAAAACCCCCAAUUUCUCUUUUGAAAUCAUCAACCAAAUGUAACGACCCGAUCAGUCAUUUUGAGCUCUAGAGCAUUUUUUUGGUAAUUUGAGGCCUUGAGUAGCUUCCCUUCAUAUUUUAUGACUUGUACGUGUGGUUGGAAUUGAAUUUCGGGAAGUUCAGAGUUGUUUCGAAAAGAAGAUUCUCAAUUCGGAAGCUUUAAGUUGGAAGAGUUAACUAAGAUUUGACUUUUGAGUAAACGACCUCGGAAUUGAGAUUUGAAGGUUCCAAUAGGUUCAUAUGAUGAUUUCUUGCUUGGGCAUAUGUUCGUAUUGAGUAUCGGGUGGCCCGGGAGAAUUUCGACGCCUAUUAUGGAACGUUUGCAUUUCUGAAAGUUUAAGAAUUUCUUAAGUUUGAAUUAAAAUGAAUUUUGGUGUUAUCGAUGUCCAUUCGGGGUUCUGAGCCCUGAAAUAGGUUUGUAAUGUGAUUUAUUAAUUGCACAUAAAAUUUGGCAUCAUUCCAGGAUGUUUAAGCAUAAUUGGGACGCGUUCGUCGAAGUUUAAAAAUUUCUCAACCAAUCCAAACUCAAAUCGCAAUAGCUAUAACCCACUGGUAGAAAAGAAACCCUCCUCACAACAUCAUAAGAAUCACACCUAUGUAGAUUACCCUGCAGGUUAUAACCCACAUGCUUAGCCUCAAACUGUCAUCUCUCUAUACCCUUUCACAGCCACAACUACUACGCAAUCACUGAAUCUUUCUGAGUCUAAACUCAUCAAUAAGACAUGAGAAUCUAAUUCGUUCCAUAAUUUAUCAACAUGAAAGAUUAUUCAACACACUCAUAACUCGAGACUAUAUGUCAUAUCAAGACAAAAAUCAAGCACCCAAUAGUCCUUUUUUACAUCUCAUGCAAACUCUUCUCGUCACAUUCGAACUAUCUAAAAUAGCCCGUAGUCAGAUCAUACUCAUCAUUUAGUCAUCCAACCACUCAUCGAGCCACCAACUCCACUCAUAGGGACACAACUGGACAUAGAAGUCCAAAAGCACAUGCUCACGCAACUGAAACUGCCGAGCCUAAGUUGCGAUCCAAACCCAGCCUCAAGUCCUUUAGACUGGCCCAUCACCAAAGCACAGGAAACACAUCUCUCACCUCAUCCAUGGAAUUCCACAAGCCGUCGAUGUACAACUGAUAUUGAGCGCUCAAAUGCGCAUACGAGUGAGUAGAAGGAAUUCAAAGAGAUAUGCUUCAAGCUUAAUCAAUGUCGCACGAUAAGGAAAGAAAGAUGGGAAGUUUAUCCUAAAUGCCUUGUAGCCUCUCGAAGAUAGGUAUGGAGGUCAUCAUACCAAUCCGCAAGACUCUACUAGACACUUGCUCAUGACUCGUAGAACCUAUGAACCUAGAGCUCUGAUACCAACUUGUCACAACCCAAAAUCCAACUAGUCGUGAUGGCACCUAACCCAACCCGCUAGGUAAGCCAAUUAGCAGCUAUCUAAUUCAAAAGAGAUCUACUGAGAGAAAUACAGAUAAUUUAACUGAACUCUCAUACAAGGAAUUUCCCAAGGACUGGUAGUACAAAUCAUGAGCUUCUAAGAUUUAGAGUUUACAAAGCUGAUAUGAAACAAAUGCAUCAUCUGUUUGAAAUAUACAUGAAUAGAUUUAAAAUGCUAAAGCUACCAAGAACAAGAGGCAGCUAUAAAAGGAACGCAGGUACAUCUUCAAUUCCAGCUCCCGCCAUACACAACAACAUCAACAUCCCAAAUCUGCACGCAAGGUGCAGAAAUGUAGUAUGAGUACUACCGAUCCCAUGUACUCAAUAACUUACAGUGACGAGCUUGGACAAAGGUCAGAGUCCAACACCAAUAGUCAAGAAUAAUUUGUAACAAUAUAAGAAAAACAGUACAUGUAAUGACUCAAAAAUAUGAUGCCCAGCUCGUUCACAGUUACGGAAAAUAGUCAUGCUUUUCAGGUAUAACAGUAAAACCCAAAUCUUUCACCGAAAUUACCAAAGUAUGAGUAAGUCAGAAAAAACUGUGAUUUUUUCCAAAAUCUAUGUAAAAGAACAUAUAUAGAGCUAACUAAUAGUUUAAUUGAAAUAAAAAUUAGUUCAAAAAAAGGUCAGAAGUACAUGCAAUUUCAUUCCACUUGAGUUCAGAAAAGAUACAAAAUCUCUACCCAUGAGUUGCCUACUUUACUCGCAAAUACAUGCAAUCUCAGUUUCGAUGAAUACUAAGGAUCUUGCAUUCUGAUGACAAGAAUAUUCACUUUUUUAAUAUGACCACAGAGGACAUCAAGGACUUGAAAAGAUUCCUAGAAAGCAUCUCAAAACUACAUGUUCUGACCAUUACUUAAAGAAUACAAUUUGAAGGAAGAAAAGAGAUCAUGAAAGACAUAGAGUUUUCUCCUACUUCAACAAUAACCAAUAACCAAUAAUCAGUUACAAGAAUACAUAGCUUAGAAUUCCUUUUUUUUUCUUUUCUAUUCUUCUAUUAUAAAGUAACACCCUUAGGCCAUAACUGGUUUUGGCAUCACCUUAUCUCCCUCAGCUUUCCAUACAAAUAUUAGACACCUAUUAGCUCCACUCUCACUUCUAUUUCAGACUAGUGGAUAACCAGAUACAUUUUCUACAAAGUAUUAACACAUGGCAAAGUAUUUCCAUCAAAUACAACCAAUAAGUAAGCAGUAAUUUGCUAAAUCUUCUUCUCUCUAACUCAAAAAAUUUAACACUGAAAAACAAACAGAUUCUCAGAUGUAGAAAUAAAAAAUAUAAAGAAAUAAAUAUGAGAAUGAAAUAGCAGAAAUGAAAAAACAGAGAUAACAAUUUGUAGUUGGUGGCUACAAUAGGGAUUGAACUGGAACAGAAAAUACUUUAGGCAGAGCAGGUUUUUUUUUUCUUAACAGAUAAAAGAAAAUUUGUAGCAACAAAAGGUACCGCUCCAAUUUCUAUUCUACCAGUACAGAACAUCAACCUGCCAAAACCAUACAAACACGAUGAACAACUUAAGCCCUCACUCUCUUCAAGCUUACCACUGGUUUUAGCAGUUGUGCAAAAAGCAAAAUUACAAUAUUACAAAGAUUAAAACAUACGGGGUAAGACUAAACCGAAGAAUUGAAGGCCCUGUAAGGAAUUGGAGAAAUACUGAAAGCCGACUCACCUCGAGUCAGUCAGACAUCCAUAUAAUGCAGAAUGAGGAGAUAAAAACGGAAGUGAAAAUUCCUCUUUGUUGAGUUAUGCAAAAAAUAUUGGCAUAUGCCAGAAUUGGAAAACAUUGGUCUUAAAAAGCCAUAUCUGUGUGAAAAUCAAAAGAAAAAAAAAAAAAGGAAUCAUAAGAGUUCUGCAACAAUUUGUCAAAGCGAUAAGCUCAUCAUAGUGAAUAAGGAAAGAAAACUCUACCUUUGAUGUUUUCGGGAUUCAAAUAAAAUUCUCGAUUUCAUCCACUGAGAACCUGAUGCAAGGAGCCCCAUCUGUUAAGUAAGAUAACUCAUAUGCUUCUUUUUAUCGAAAGCACUCUCUUGAAUUCCUGGAACAUCCUCUUCCUUCGCUAAACCAUCUUCUAAUGCUAGAGAACCAAUCUCAUGCUUAUCCCCAGUGAGAGGGCUUGUAGAAAGAAUGUGAUCCCAGAAAAUGUCAUUAAUGCCUGGAAGCUUAGGCAUCUCGUCAAAAAAGACAUCAAUAUCAGUAUCUGUGGAAAAUCUAUCAGGGACAACUGAUGUUACACCAUCCACAAUGCCUUGCAUUCUGUCAAUGUCUGGCAAAUCCCCAGUUCCCGACCGCUUAAGGUCAGUUAUUCCAAAAUUGUCCAGUAUAUUUAUCCCAUGUCCUUCUGAAACUUCAGGCAGAACAUGGUCUAUCUGAAAGUUAAGUGCAUUUAAACCAGGAAAGUGAGGGACUUUGGCUUCCCCAGGAAUCAGACCAGGGGAAUAUUGGAUCUCAGGAAUGGCAGAUAAAUUAGAGUUGAAUGGAAAUCCUGAAUCCGACGUCAGAUGAGAUUGUGAAGAAGUUGGCAGUUGUGGAAGGGUAACCCCAGAAAUAUGACUGCAUAUACCAGCACUGUCUAAUGUAUUUUCGAAAGCAUGGCCAUGACUAGUCAAAAAACCAUUUGUAUUCUUAACUUUGGUUUCCAGCCAACCAGAUGCAUUAGUUUUCAGGAUCUUCUGCAGCAAUGCUUUUGCUGCCUCAUUCAUUAAAGGCUGGUAACGGACUAUCUGCCUGUCAUGCAAAGUACUGACAGGCUUGCCUGCAUAAAUUUCUUCUUCCUGGUUGGGAAAUCUCCUCUUCUUUUUCAUCCCAUGAAUGCGCCUGUUACCUUCAUUGUGUUGAUGAAUAAGCUCGGCUAUAAAGCCAGGGCUCUGCAAGGCCUUAGCAAGGAAUGACAUGGUUUGCUGUUCUCUUUGCUCCAUUAAAUGAAGACGCUGCCCAACAUUCUCUAAGCAGUGGUCUGUUGCCUGCUGCUGCUGUUUCAACUUGACUAGCUCCUCCAUAUGAAUACUUUUAUCUCUUUUAAGCCUUUCAACCUCUUCUUCUAUUCCAAACUUCCCAACUUCAACACAAGAUUCAACAGAUACACUUUGCACUUGGGAGGCGGUGUCCUGAUGGACCUGCAUUUGAGAUGGUUUUCGCCUACUUAUGGUCUUCAACAGGUGUUUGUGGCCUCUAAGGAAUCCCUCAUUUGCAAAUUCCCAGCAGUCUGGAUCAACCUUCCUGUAACCCUGGUUGAUGAAAGGGCAGAGCAAAUUGUAAAAAAGGAUUAAGGUUGCCCAAUAUAUACAAAGAGUACUUAUAACCAAAACACAAAGAUAACAGCGAGUGACAAAACUGUAUAAACUGCAAUACACAAGAAAAUUAUUCCCUCAUCGUGAUUAAAAGAGACUCCCAUCUCCCAUCGUCCCAUCAUCGAUUUAUUGCUUUGAACCUUGAAACAUGGAAAAAAUGGUUAAAAUGUCACAUGGUUACACUACAUGUGAUGCCUUGAAAUCAGUAAUAAUGCAGACAUGAUUAGCAAUGAUCAGAAUGUUAGGAUUAGAGAUUCUUAGGAACAGAAUCAUGUGACAAACAAAUAAGAGGAGGUUAGUGAGUGGCAAACGGGAUUGAGCAGGAGAGCAAGAUUAGCGACCGGGUAAAGUUCCCUUUAUUGUAGGGUAACUUUUAUACCAUGGAGGUGGGGCAGUAGGUGGCGAGACCUGGGGGGUUAAUGUGUGCCGGAUAGGAUAGAGGGGAGAGAUAGAAAUAGCAAAGGGGAAAAGAUCACCCCUUUACCUCAUGGCACACUUUUUGACCCACCUUUACCGUGGAAUACAGUUAUACCAUGAGAAAGAAUGAUAAGCCCCUAAACAAAGCUUCCCAAAACACACCAAACACUGAAAUUAAUUUAAAACAAACGCUGCCCCUAAACAUAAACUUGAGAUUAAAUCAGGUUUAUCAACUCUACAACUGCUUCUUGAAUUAAAGUAACAGUCCUCAAUUUGCUAUAUCCCUGAUGAGACCCUACCAAAUAAUUUUCUAAUAAAAAGGGAAUAAGCUUUCAAAUCAAAGUGUUUACUGAUAUUUUAGCACCAAAGACAACUUCUGAUUUGAUUUAAACAAGCGUGUGGCUUGUGCAUAUGGGAUCAGAGAGCUUCUCAUUAACUCUUAAUAAAAAAUCAAACUGCCAAGCUGAAUUGAAGGAAGGACAAGUACCCCAUUGAACUGAAUCCAUUCAAUAAUAUUCUGAAAAUAAUGUACUAAAUCAGAUGAAACUUCAUAUUAUAUUCCAAUUAGAGAGAAAGUUUUGCCUAUUUGCUCGAGUUUGCUGCAUCUUUCCAACUCAAUGUACUACUUAUAUACAAUCAAUUUCAAAUAGAAUACUUGUAAAUUUUUUUAGAAGAGGAUAUAAAGAAAUAGAAAACAAAUAAGCGUAUAUCAUAGUGACAGCUAGAAACACAAGCGACCUAAGUAAAAACAUUUAAAACAAUGAGCAGAGAAAAUCUAUACAUACUCAGAAACAUAACGAUAUUUUUAAAAAAGCAACAAUCUUAUGUGCCUCAAUCCAAAUUGGCGAAUUUCAGAAACAAAUUCAAUAUUAGAAAAAAUGUUUUUCUUAUAGGGUUUAAGCAAAUUGUUGCAGACACCAACCUCACAAGCAAACGCAUAAACCGAAAUAGUGGAAUAAAGAGCGAAAAAACAAAGAGGAAUUUUAAUACUUACAUAAGUAUUCAACUGCCUAACAAAGCUGGAGAAAUUAUUGUGCUUAAAAUACUUGGGCAAAAUAUCUCUCGAAAACUCCAGCACGUUCCAGACGACGAAGCUGUUAUUACUCUUACUCCAAGACACCACUGAAUCGGUCGACAAAUCGUCCACCAUCUCAUACGUCUUGCACAGAAAAGGCGGUGGCGAAUUUCCUAUCUCAUGAAUUGCUUCCAUUUUUGGCCACUCAAAAUCGGACGCCGAUCUUCUGAAGGUACUCUGGGAUUCUAUAUUCUCAAUUACUAAUUUGACGUAUUAAAAUUAGUAUAUAAUGUAUAAUUCGAAAAUAUGUUUUUAUUAGCUUUUAAAUAGAAUAAAAAGUUUUUUAAUUGUUAUUACAAGGAUUAGUUUUGUAAUUUUAGUUGUUUUAAUCUGUUUAUUGUUAAAUGUUAGAGAAAAUUAUCAAAAUGGUCCUUAAUGUAUAAGGGUUGAAAUAUUUUGGUCCUUGAUAUAUACCAUUUAAUAGGAAUAGUUCUUAAUGUAUACAAAAGGUAAUUUAUGUUAAAUUUAACCUCAAUCCCUAAAAAGCAAAGCCUAGCAAACCCCUUUGCCCCUAUCUUCUAUCUUUUACCGUGCCAAGCUCUCGAUAAAAAGAAAACUCAGCUCGCAUCUCUUCCACUAUUUCUAUUACUACCAAAAUACCCAUUUCAAACAACCAAAGUUUUUACACAUGACUGAUAUGUUGAAUGGAAGAAAAUAUCAAGAACAAGAGUGAACCCAUAUGAUAUAUCCUUGUAUUUAAAGGUCAAAACUUAUUUUUGCACAACAGCUACGAAGCAACUUGGACAAGACGAUUUUAACUGUCCAUGUUGAAAUCUUGUCAAGCAACAUUACUGGUUGCAUAUCACGAAUUGGCCCAUCACCUCUUCUUCGACUAUAUUACUAGUCCUAUAAUGGCUAGAAUUUUCUGGUUCACCAUUAUUCUGCUUCUUUGAAUCUUUCCUAGUAAGAAAACAAUUCAAACUUCAUCAAGAUACAAAGCAAAAGUUUAGAAUUCUAUACCACAUUGAAAACUAUUCUCUUAAGACUUAAUGAAAUUAAAUUGGUUUUCCAAACUUGGAAUACUAUAGAGAAUAUAUUUCAUGAUCCAUCGCUCAAGCAUUAGAUUCAAGUUUAUGUAUCUCUAGUUGCAAAAUUAUAAAUCAAACUGAAAUUUUAACAAAUGAAGUGAUUAAAACAGAUUCGCAAGUAAAUUCAAACAAGAAAAUAAGGAUUUCCAUUUAUAAAAUCCAUAAGACUAACAAGCAAAACAAUUUAGCUUCCCAAGAUCCAUUCUUGUUUGAGAGAGGGUUUGGAUUUAAGGUCGUUAAUGGUGAAUGAGAGAAGAGGAGGGAGUCGGGAGAGAUUGGGGUGAAGUUUAACAGAAUAUUUUGUUUUCUACUGUUAGUUUUAGGGAUGAGGACCAAAGCUAUCACUUUUUGUAUACAUUAAGGACUAUUCUUAUUAAGUGGUAUAUAUCAAGGACCAAAAUAUUUCAACCCAUAUACAUUAAGGACCAUUUUGAUCAUUUCCUCUUAAUUGUUACAAGGAUUAGUUUUGUAAUUUUAGUUGUUUUCAUCUGUGUAUUGCCAAUACUCUCAUUUUUAUUUAGUGUUUCAUCUAGCAUAAAAUAAGUACAGAAUUUUCUCUAUAACAAUAUACCCAGUAUAUUCUUAAAUGUGGGUCUGCGAAGGGUAGUGCAUGCGCACACCUUGCCCUUACUUUGUGCAGGUGGAGAACCUAUUUCCUAUAGACCUUCGGCUCAAGCAAACACAAUCGCAGCAGUAAAGCAAAUUGAAAUAUGAAAAUGGUAGGGAAUCAUAAGAAAAGAAAUAAUAGCGAAAUAGUAAAUAAUCAAAGCAAAAACAACAUUAGAUAAUACUAGAAAUCCAAGAAAAAAGAUAAAACAAGAGUAAUACUACAGCUACCCGAAUGGAAGGAAAGUGAGCUAUAUUACUACUAAACUUCUAUCAUAAUCUUCGACCUCUAUAAUCUCCUAUCAAGAGUCAUGUUCUCAGUCAGCUAAAGAUGCGUCAUGUCCUGCCUAAUCACCUCUCCCCAAUUCUUCUUUGUCCUUCCUCUACCUCUUCUCAGACCCACGAUGUUCAACCUCUCACACCUCCUCACAAGGGCGUCUGGGCAUCUCCUCUUCACAUGUCUGAAUCAUCUCAGCCUUACUUUCUACAUCUUAUCCUCAAUGGGGGCUACCCUCACAUUGUCCCGAAUAACUUUAUUGCUAACUCUAUCUCUCUUAGUAUGCCCACACGUCUAUUUUUAGCAUCUUUAUCUCCGCUACUUUUAACUUCUAGACAUGAGAGUUCUUGACUAGCCAACACUCCGGCCCAUACAAUAUAGUGGACCUAACCACCACUCUAUAGAACUUACUUUUAAGUCUUUAUGGCACGAUCUUAUCACAAGACACCGAAAGCAAAGCCUCUAUUUCAUCUACUCUGCCCCAAUACGAUAUGUAAUAUCCUCGUCAAUCUCCCUGUUGCUCUGGAUUACUAACCCAAGAUACUUGAAACUUUCCUUCUUAGGGAUGGCUUGUGUGUCAAGCCUAACUUCCACUUCAUCUUUAUGGGUUGCGUUAUUGAACUUGCACUCAAUGUAUUCGAUUUUAGUCUUGCUCAGCUUGAAACCUUUAGAUUCCAAAGUCUGUAUUCAAACCUCCAACUUAGUGUUAACUCUAGUUUCGCAUUUCAUCAAUCAGCAUUAUAUCAUCUAUAAAUAACAUGUAUCAUGGUACCUCCUCAUGAAUAUGUUGAGUCAAUAUAUCCAUCGCCAAGGCGAAUAAGAAUGGGCUAAGAGCUGAUCCCUGGUAUAACUCCAUCAUGACAGAGAAGUGUCUCGAGUCUCCUCACACUGCCCUUACCUCGGUCUUAGCUCUAUCAUCUCCUCACACUAUCCUUACCUUGGUCUUAGCUCCAUCAUAUAAUAUUCUUAAGCGCUCUAAUGUAUGGUACAUGGAUACCUCUAGACUCAAAAUGCCUCCAUAAAACUUCUCUUAGGACUUUGUCGUAUGCUUUUUCCACAUCAAUGAACACCAUAUACAAACUCAUUUUCCUUUCCCUAUACUGCUCCAUCAGCCUCCUUAUAAGAUGAAUAGAUUUUAUGGUCGAUCGUCCCGAAUUGAACCCAAACUGAUUUUCGGAGAUAGACACCCUCCUCCUUACCCUCGUCUCUAACAUCCUCUCCCAAACUUUCAUAGUGUGACUUAGCAGCUUGAUACCUAUGUAGUUGUUAUAAUUUUAGAUAUCACCCUUGUUCUUGUAUAUCGGGACCAUCGUACUCCACCUCUAUUUUUUGAGAAUCUUGAAUGUCUUAAGAAUAAUAUUAAAUAAUCGGGUGAGUCAUUUCAAGCCUACAAUACCCGCGCUCUUCCAUAACUCUAUUGAAAUCUCGUCAGGCCUGAUCGCUCUUUCUCUAUUCACACAUAGCCCCCUCAACCUUCUCAGCCUUUAUACACUUACAAAACCCAAAAUAUUAGAAAAUUUUAGAUUAAUUUAAAUCGCCCAGCAUAAUUUUCCUCUUCAUUAUUUAAGAGUUUAUGGAAGUAUGUCUGCCAUCUUCGUCUAAUAUGUGUGUAACGACCUGACCGAUCGUUUUGAGCUCUAGCGAGUCACCCGGUAGUUUAAGGCCUUGAGUAG
RNAcentral lists this long non-coding RNA (10324 nucleotides) under Nicotiana tabacum (common tobacco). RNAcentral describes it as "long non-coding RNA (NTAB_LNC011884)". Lineage: Eukaryota; Viridiplantae; Streptophyta; Magnoliopsida; Solanales; Solanaceae. The record is from RNAcentral.